This is a non-coding RNA of Pelobates cultripes (western spadefoot toad), 203 nucleotides long. The record is from the annotation of a GenBank genome assembly. NCBI's taxonomy places the organism in Eukaryota, Metazoa, Chordata, Amphibia, Anura, Pelobatidae.
CUGCAUUUAAAAUUCAACACUACAUACAAACACACCACAGCAUUCACACGCAAACACUACACACAAGUACACCACCGCAUUCCAAUGGCAACAAUUACACCAUUACAUGCACACAUAUACUCCAUGCAAAAAACAUGCAUACAUUUAAACAUUAGUCACAAAUGAAACCCUGCAAGGAUAGACAAACGGUAGAUCUCCUGCUG